GGGAGCCNUCGUGAUAAGGUUUGGCACCAUUGUUGAGCGNAAGUCGUAUUGGGGGCGAACGUGCGGUGAGGUGACAAGGUCUGAGGCCAAUCGAGAGUGAUGAAGUCGAACGUGACAGGAUGGUAUGAACCGAACGGCGAAGCACUGCAAGUUGCGGACCCAAGAGGACUGAAGGAACCGAAGAAAGCGAANGGUUCGGAAGNAAAC
RNAcentral lists this long non-coding RNA (207 nucleotides) under Vigna radiata. RNAcentral's name for it is "long non-coding RNA (VRAD_LNC017902)". Lineage: Eukaryota; Viridiplantae; Streptophyta; Magnoliopsida; Fabales; Fabaceae. The record is from RNAcentral.